AGGUGGUUAAAGCAGUGAGGUUCCACCUCUUCCCAUUCCGAACAGAGAAGUUAAGCUCACUCACGUCGAUGGUACUGCGUAAAAGUGGGAGAGUAGAUAGCCGCC
RNAcentral lists this ribosomal RNA (105 nucleotides) under Bacteroidia bacterium. Lineage: Bacteria; Pseudomonadati; Bacteroidota; Bacteroidia. The record is from RNAcentral.